Molecule: ribosomal RNA, 287 nt
Filed under: uncultured Rhodocyclaceae bacterium
Lineage: Bacteria; Pseudomonadati; Pseudomonadota; Betaproteobacteria; Rhodocyclales; Rhodocyclaceae
Description: partial 16S ribosomal RNA
Rfam family: Bacterial small subunit ribosomal RNA
Source: RNAcentral
AACCCUUGUCAUUAGUUGCCAUCAUUUGGUUUGGGCGACUCUAAUGAGACUGCCGGUGACAAACCGGAGGAAGGUGGGGAGUGACGUCAAGUCCUCAUGGCCCUUAUGGGUAGGGCGUUCACACGUCAUACAAUGGUCGGUACAGAGGGUUGGCCAACCCGCGAGGGGGAGGCUAAUCCCACAAAGCCGAUCGUAGUCCGGAUCGCAGUCUGCAACUCGACUGCGUGAAGUCAGAAUCGCUAGUAAUCGUGGAUCAGCAUGUCACGGUGAAUACGUUCCCGGGUCUU